AUUGGAAGUAAAAGUCGUAACAAGGUCUCCGUAGGUGAACCUGCGGAAGGAUCAUUAUUGAAUCCUCAGGAUGUCGCUGGCUUCUCGCAAGGGAAGCAUGUGCACUCCGCCUUCAAUCCACCUGUGCACUAUUUGUAGGUCAAAGGGGGAAACCCCUCUGCCUAUGCUUUUUACACACACUUUAAAGUAUCAGAAUGUAACACUGUAGACCUUCAGGUCGAAAUAACAAUACAACUUUCAACAACGGAUCUCUUGGUUCUCGCAUCGAUGAAGAACGCAGCGAAUUGCGAUAUGUAAUGUGAAUUGCAGAAUUCAGUGAAUCAUCGAAUCUUUGAACGCACCUUGCGCCCUUUGGUAUUCCGAAGGGCAUGCCUGUUUGAGUAUCAUUAAUAUCUCACUCUUGAAUUCCUUGUGAAGUCAAGAUGUGGACUUUGGAGGUUUUUGCAGGCCAUCACUGGUCAGCUCCUCUUAAAUGCAUUAGCGGAACUCUAUGCAGUUUCAGCCUCGGUUUGAUAAUCCUAUCUAUGCUGUCGCUGAUGACUGUGCUGUUUGGCUUAUAAUUGUCUUCGGACUGUCACUUUUGUGGCAUAAACUUAAGCUGAUCUCAAAUCAGUAG
RNAcentral lists this ribosomal RNA (616 nucleotides) under uncultured fungus. RNAcentral's name for it is "eukaryotic LSU rRNA". The stretch from base 233 to 386 matches the Rfam family "5.8S ribosomal RNA". The record is from RNAcentral. Lineage: Eukaryota; Fungi.